GGAUCGAGACCCAGGUCUUUUACCCAAGAGUCUGUGUUGUUUGCAGUUUACCACACUGCUGCUAAUAAUCAUUAGGUAUAUUUGAAGGCUCCCAUGAUUCUGAAUGGAGUCUGUGUUAUCUGGAAAGGUUGGAUUGAUCUCCAGAGACUGGAUGGUAUGGGCUGCCUGGAGUUUGAUGAGGAGCGAGCCCAGAGUACCUUUGACAAACGUUGGCAAGGAUGCGGAACAACAGUUGGUGUGGUGUCUGAUUACAUAAAGUUGAUACGACAUAUGGCAAUAAAUUACUAAAACUGCACAUGUGUAUACCUAUGAUCCAGCAGUUCUGUCCUGAGGCGUGUUAUGCAAUGGGAAUGAAUACAUAUAUUCAUCAAAAGAUAGGUACUAGGACAUUGUAGCGGCAUUAUUGGUUAAUAGCCAGAAAGUAUAAACUGCCCAAAUGCUCACUAACAGUCAAAUGGAUAAAUUGCAUGUUCAUACAGAGAAAUACAAUGAAAAUGAAAAACUACAACUAGCAUACCAGUAUGGGUGAAUUUCACAAAUACAUUGAGUGUAUUAAAAAAGCACAUGCUAUAUGAACCCAUUUAUAUAAAAGUACAAAAAUAGGUAAAACUAAUAAUACAUGUUGUUAAAAGGAAGGAUAGUGGUUUAUCCUUGGGAGAGGAUGGUAGUUCCUGGAAUGGAGGAGAGGACAACCUCUGAGAUGCUGGUGCUGUUCUGUCUCUUCAUAUGGCUUUUAGUUACUGGAAAGUUCAGUUUCUGAAGAUUCAUCAAGCUAUCUUUUAGGACAGUGCUGUCCAGUAGAAUUCAAAUGUGAGCCACAUUAUGUAAAUUAAAAUUUUUUAAAAGCCACAUUUAAAAAGGUUUGAAAAUUAUUAAUUUUAAUAUUUUAUUUAUCCCAGUAUAUCCAAAAUAUCAUUUGAACAUAAAAUCAAUAUAAAUACUUAUUGGGAUAUUUACCUGUUUUGGUAACAAGUAUUUGAAAUCCAUUGUGUAUUUUCCACUUACAGACUCAAAUUAGCAACAUUUCAAGUAUGCAGUAGUCACACGUGGCUAGUGGCUACAGUAUUGAACAACACAGCCUUAAGAUAUGUGUACUUUUUUGUAUGUGUAACUAGUUCAAUAAAAUGUUUUAAAAGUUUCCCACAAAUGAAGGUAUUUCUGAGUAUAAUUGUAUAAACUCAAAAUUGAAUCAUGUUUGCUGAUUGUACUUUCAUUUCUUUAUUUUCUGUAAUUUGUAGGAUAAAUUUCAGUGUUGUUUUUAUAUGUUUGAUUUUCAAUAAUUGCAAUUCUCUAAAAGCUUGAAAAACUGAAAAAUUUGGCGCUUCACCAUUGAAUACUUUAAUCAGAGAUUUCUAACUAAUUUUGAACAAGAUAUAACUGAGGACUCAUUUACAAAAAAAAAAAGAUCAAUGCCAUUUUAGGAACUAGGUUGAUUUCAUAGAAGUUCUUCAAAGGCUCAAAUUUCUAAAAUCCAAAGUGCCUGUAUAAUGUCAUGUGAAGUUAUUUGUAUUCAGCAUCAGCUUUGUCACAGAAAUUUUAGAGUUUAGUCACUUUAACUAUGGAUACAUAAAUAUAUUUGUAAUUUAUGCAACUCUAAUGUCUAAAUGAUUGGUAGAAUACCUCACUACUUUGGAUAAGAAUUGUUUGGAUAACAAUUAUGAAUUUCAUGUGUACCACAACUAAUUACUAGUAAAUUUCUAUUUCAUAGUUUUAAAAAUUCACUGAGAAUGUUAUUUUUUAUACAGUGUUUAAAUGUUUGCUCCACCAACAUUUGUAUUUGUAUUAUCAGUUUAAGAACCGAUAACUUUAUCUUUAUUUUUGUACUUUUAAAAUUAGCAGUCACAAAAAUAUGUUUCACCUUCAAUAUAAUGACCUUCCAAAAGUUCUAUUUUGAUUCUAUAAUAUGAUUAGAAAAAUUGAACCGUAUUGGGUUGAACAGAUUUUCUAUUUGAAGUACCUAAUGACACUGAUGUAAAACUGGUAUCCUUUAGCUUUUUGCAGGGUUUUUCUGUCAGCAAAGCCAACAUAUGAACAGCUUUGCUUUUUGUAUGUUGACGAGAAUGUGAGUGAAAAUUUAGAAGAGUCGUUUGAUUUAAAUAAAAAGUUAUGUUUUACAGAAUGGUGUUAAAUGUACCGUUUGCAGCUGCACAUGUUAAAUUGUCGCCUUUGAAGUAUAUGUUGAUGCUUCUUCAGCAGAUUUAUUUCUUUUGGUUUUCAUGUGAUCAGUGAUACCAUUCUGGUCCCCACAGAGAAUAGGAAAUUUCGUUAUUUUGUACAAAUUAUGCAUUCAUCAUCAGCUUUCUUGGAAAUGAAUUUGAUUCUUAAUUUUUCAUUAAAUAUAUACUUCUAUUUUUUAAAUUCAUUGCACAGAAAGGUAAGUAUUACCAAACUGUAAAAUAAAUGUAGUUGUAGAUUUAGCAAUACAAUAAAGACGAAAUCAGUGUAGCAAGAAUGGUUAAGAAUAGUCUGUAUAUAUGCUCUAUGAGAGCACUGCUAGGUCUUUAUUUACCACAUGGGUUUCACAAACACCCAGCCACCUUUUAUGAUGACCCCACCUGACUACUUUGUGCAGGCUGUGGUAUAGACCAUGGAGUAACAGGCUAGUGUAACGAGUAGCUGGUGGGGACUGGAGUGCUGAAAGCCUCCCACCACCUGAGUCUGGAUAGGGUUAUUUGUCCCUAUCCAUUUGAGCACACUUUAUGGGUGAGUGUAUAGUUUUAUCAGUAAGUACCCUUUGUGCUGUCCUUGAAAGGGAGGUGUUACUUAAGUUCGCAACAGGAAAGGAUCAGGAUAACACUGGAUCACUGAUCAUCUUUCAGAUUUAACCAUUUAAAGUGCAGACUCUGUUCAUUGCACAUACAUUUCACAUCUUACUAGAAAAGACCAAGAUAGAAGCUGGAAUUAGAGAAUAGAGAGCUACCAAAUCUCUCUUAGCUUAUUUUACUACAAAUAUUAGUAAUAAUACUUUUUUUAAUUUUAAUAAGGUAAAAAUCUAUGAUCAUUGCUAGAAUACACAUUAGUGGCUAAUAACUUCCUUAGGGAGUUAGAGUACAUCUUGUGUUAUAUGCUGUCAUUUCAUCUUGUAAUCCUUUACUAUACUCAGUCACAACUGAUAAUUAUAUAUUGAUUUUUGUAAUUACUUGUUCAUUGUCCACCUGCCCCUCUAGACCAGAAACUAUAAGGAAAAGCACCAUUUGCUCCCACACAUUGUAUGCAUGGCACCCAGCACAGUGACUUGGGCAUAAUAAAGACUCACGGAAUAUUUGUGGAAUAAAUGAAAAAGUGAAUGAAUGCACAGGACAGAAGGGAUAUCCUGUUAUCAGCAGACCUGUCCUGGUUGAUACCUAAUCAAAUAAGAGAAAGUCCUUGGCAUUUGGGAACAGUGUUCUUUUGCAGGUGCCUCUGGCUUAUGUAGUACAUUCUGAGAAUACAGUUGGUAUUUAUAGUAAUGUUUAUUAGUCACGUGUAAAUUUUACAUGUUCACAAAUGCUUAUAAAAUAAUAGCAUUUAUUGAAUGUUGUCAGGUAGUGCACUUAAGCAUUUUUAUAUGUUAUCUCAUUUAAUCUUGAGAUGUCAGUAUUACUACUCUGUGCAUUUUACAUGUGAGUUUACUGAGGCUUAGAAAAUGAAAUACCUUGCCCUGGGUCACAGAGCUAGUAAAUGCAACAUAAGAGUGGAGACUUGAUCACACCUUUCAGUUUUGUUUAAGUUAUAGACCUUGUGUCAGUGAAAAUUGCAAGUAUCAAACAACCCUACUAACAGAGCCAAAUACAGGAUUUAUCACACAGAAUAAGGUAUCAACAGUAUGCAGUUCAGGCAAUUAUAUUAUCAGGGGCUGUGGGUCUUUUCAUUUUCCUGCUGUACUAUGCUCAGUGUGUGACAACAUCCCCAGUAUUAUAUUUGCAAGAUGGUUGCUGUAUCUCUGGUCAUUGCAUCGGUUCCCAGGAAGAAGGAAAGGUGACAUGUCUCUUAAAUGACUUUCUCAGAAGGCCCAUUCAUUGACUUACACUUCUGUGUCAUUGACAUUUCUAUAUCAUUGGCUGGAACAUAGUUACCUGGCCACCUCUUGCUGUAAUGAAACUAGGACAGUGAAUAUUGAUGACUUUUUUGGCAUUGUUUUUGAUAUUUUAGUUUCUUCAAGUGUGCCAUUGAAAAUCCUAGUGUUGAGAAGUGCAUGACUGCAAAUCACACACUUGAGCAUCCUGUGCUGUAGACAGUGAGGGAGCUUUAAGUUGGGGAGUAUUGUGGUCAGAUUGUGCUUUAGAAGGCACGCUCUGAUGGCUGUGUUUUGGAUUGGGGGAUGACAGAAUGGAAACAGGAAGACACUUUGAAGUACUUUGGGUGAGAGAUCUUAGGAUCCUGAACUAGGAAAAUGUUUGUAGGAAUGAAAAGGAGCCUAAAGAUUCAAAAAAUAGGAGGUCAGAUGGAUAGGAUUUGGUGGUUGAUUGGCUCUGUGGAGACAGGGGGAGAGUGAAGUGUCAAAGGCAGCUCUGGUUCUUGGCAGAAAUGAGUGAGUAGUGCCACCAUCCAGACUAAAGAAGUGUAAAGGGAAAGUGUAAAUUGGUUACCUUUUAGACCCAAGAAGUUUGAAGUAUCUGGGUUUCCUUCAGAUCUUUAUCCAUUAGUUGGGAAAGGAUUAGGAUAGAUUUGUUAUAUGUUACAAAUAAAUUUUUCUUGAUAAUAUCCCUUGGAAUUUUCUUGUUGUCUAGAAGUUUCUAACAUUUGUACAGUUGAUUCUGUUAAUAUUCUCUUUUAUAUUUCUGGCUUUAGUGUCAUACUUAAUGAGUGCCUGGCCUGUCUUAUCCCCACACUGUAGAAAUAUUUAAUAAUUUCUUUUUCCUUAUACUUCUAUGUUUUAAAUAUUGACUUGAUCAGGAUUUUACUUUGGUGAAUAGGAUGAGGUAAGGACAGAAAGGGAAGAACACUUUCAGUUGUUAGAAUAUGACUGAACACGAUUACUAUUUCCAUGGUGUUAUAAUAGAACAUGAAAAUACUGAAGUUUUCUUUUAGAAGUUGCUCUGACUUUUUUUAUGGCUUUGAUGUUUUGAGAAAUACUCUGCUGUUCUUUUCUUUCAAAAAAUAAGACACCCCCAAAUUUUCUUUAUUAUAAAUCAAAAUUAAAAUAUCUGUUUCAUAUAUUCUU
Molecule: RNA transcript, 5143 nt
Organism: Physeter macrocephalus (sperm whale)
Lineage: Eukaryota; Metazoa; Chordata; Mammalia; Artiodactyla; Physeteridae
Gene name: core-binding factor subunit beta
Exons: 3
Source: RefSeq, a predicted model, not a curated record